AAAAAGGCAAUGAACAAGAGUAGUACGAUCCGGUAACGGUACAGAGAGCUGCGGGGAGGUGCGACGCAGUCCGUAAGGGAUCGGAACUCGCUUGGGAGCCGGGAGCCGAAUGUUACGAAUGCCGCAUGAGCGGCCGUGACUCAAGCUUACAAACGGUUGGCCUCCGUUAACGGGCGCGCAGCGAAUGUUAGGCUUCAAUCCCUUUUGCAUUCGCUGCCGUAAGCGGACUUUCCCGUGGGGAAGGUCAACAAGAGUGGUACCGCGCCGGCACAGCCGUCGUCUCUUUC
RNAcentral lists this non-coding RNA (287 nucleotides) under Paenibacillus sp. RNAcentral describes it as "T-box sequence". It matches the Rfam family "T-box leader". Rfam says of the family: Uncharged tRNA acts as the effector for transcription antitermination of genes in the T-box leader family. T-boxes are found upstream of many aminoacyl-tRNA synthetase genes and some amino acid biosynthetic genes usually in Gram-positive bacteria. Lineage: Bacteria; Bacillati; Bacillota; Bacilli; Caryophanales; Paenibacillaceae. The record is from RNAcentral.